GUUUCCCCUGAUGUCCUCGUCUGUCCCGGGACGCCAUCGGGACGGUUCCUGUGACGUCCCUCGCAUGGGCGCCCGGGGACAUCGGAAGAGGCACUGGGCAGGAGUGGGCAGGACGCCCUCCCUGGGGUCCAUCUCCUGUUUUCUCAGGACCCACUGAAGGGCAAUAGGGUAUCGGGAGGAAGACCUCUGGGGGUAUGUGCCCUGCCGUCCACGUGGCUCCUCGCUGCUGGGGGUCCCUGACCUCCUGGUGGGGGCUGCUUGGGCCCCUACGUUGGGGUCCCCCCUCCACACCGUCCUCAGGAGGGGCCACCAUGUGCAGCCCACGCGGACGGUGGGCCAGGGGUCUUUCUGUCAAGCUGGUGGUGGAGCCUCAGACCCCGGGCCCUAAAGGCCUAUGGUCACGUCAGGACUCGGCCGGGCCCUGGGUGUGCGGGGACGACGGAGACGGACUCACGACUGAGGGCAGCCGCCCUGGCAGCCACGAUGGGCCCAGCAGGAAACACAGGAACGAAAGGUGGGAAGGGAGGGGUCAGGGCCGCUGGGGCCUCGACGGUGGACGAGCGAACCCAUUGGUUUGAAUCAGGUCCCCACAAGGUGCACCCGUGUCCCGACCCCCGACCCCUCUGCCCCGUGAGGUGGCACAGCCACAGGCCCAGGACCGGGACGGGGACGCCUUUGGGGCCACGGCUGUGUCAGGCUGGGACCGCUGCCCAGAGACAGGACGCGGCCGGCUGCCUCCACGCCGUGCAAAAUUGAUGAGGAGGAAGCCGUCCCGACCUGGACGGGGAACGUGAGCCAGGCUGAAAGCGAUCCGGCCGCCAUCUGCUCCCCCGGCGCCCGCCAGCCACAGGGUCACGGGCCGGGGACACCAGCCAGGACGGGGGUGCAGAGACCCCACUCCUCACUCGCCGGGGAGCAGACCCCCCGCACCCGGCCUGGUCCACUCAGACCCUCCGUCUCGUCUGGGGACGUCUGUGGUCGUCACACGCGGGAGCUCCCGGCAUCCAGUUGGCGGGGGACCAGGAACGCUGCUCACCCCACACAGCGCUCAGGACGCCCCCAGAGACGACCCAGCAGCCCGCGGGGUUAAAUUAAAGCCCCCGGGGUCACCUGCAGCUGUGACCCCUGGAGGUCGGGCCUCCGUUUCGGGGGCGACAUGGGGUCCUGGUUCUGGAAGGAUCCAGGUGCAGAGGGAGGAACGUGCCUCCUGGGGGGCCCGGCGGGGCCAGGACAGAGCGGCCCUCGGGUUUCACAACGGGCGACACGCGAAACCCGAGACGGAGCCGAGAGGGGGAGACGCUGCCGCAUCAAUAGUUCAUGGCGGGAACCGGACACCCCAGCUCACGUCGCGCAGCAGCGGCUCCGGUGGCCUGGGGGUGACGACCAGCACAGGCCCGGCCCCC
This 1403-nucleotide long non-coding RNA is filed under the name Equus asinus (donkey). Its description in RNAcentral is "lncRNA (ENSEASG00005038295.1)". Lineage: Eukaryota; Metazoa; Chordata; Mammalia; Perissodactyla; Equidae. The record is from RNAcentral.